Molecule: non-coding RNA, 30 nt
Filed under: Homo sapiens (human)
Lineage: Eukaryota; Metazoa; Chordata; Mammalia; Primates; Hominidae
Source: RNAcentral
UGACUAGUGUGAGGUGGUAGCUCGUUGUGU